UGAGGAAUAUUGGUCAAUGGGCGAGAGCCUGAACCAGCCAAAUCGCGUGAAGGAAGACUGCCUUAUGGGUUGUAAACUUCUUUUAUACAGGAAUAAAAAACGGGGACGUGUCCCUUAUUGCAUGUACUGUAUGAAUAAGCAUCGGCUAACUCCGUGCCAGCAGCCGCGGUAAUACGGAGGAUGCGAGCGUUAUCCGGAUUUAUUGGGUUUAAAGGGUGCGCAGGCGGGCUUUUAAGUCAGCGGUGAAAUCUCGGGGCUUAACUCCGAAACUGCCGUUGAAACUGGGAGUCUUGAGUAUGGAUGAAGUAGGCGGAAUUCGUUGUGUAGCGGUGACAUGCUUAGAUAUAACGAGGAACUCCGAUUGCGUAGGCAGCUUACUAAGCCAUAACUGACGCUCAAGCACGAAAGCGUGGGGAUCAAAACAGGAUUAGAUACCCUGGUAGUCCACGCCGUAAACGAUGAUUACUAGUUGUAUGCGAUAUACCGUAUGUGACUAAGCGAAAGCGAUAAGUAAUCCACCUGGGGAGUACGCCGGCAACGGUG
RNAcentral lists this ribosomal RNA (543 nucleotides) under uncultured bacterium. RNAcentral's name for it is "partial 16S ribosomal RNA". It matches the Rfam family "Bacterial small subunit ribosomal RNA", at positions 355 to 896 of the family's 1533-position model. The record is from RNAcentral.